Molecule: ribosomal RNA, 595 nt
Filed under: uncultured Bacteroidota bacterium
Lineage: Bacteria; Pseudomonadati; Bacteroidota
Description: bacterial SSU rRNA
Rfam family: Bacterial small subunit ribosomal RNA
Source: RNAcentral
CAACCUGCCCACCACUUGGGGAUAACCUUGCGAAAGUAAGACUAAUACCCAAUGACGUCUCUAGAAGACAUCUGAAAGAGAUUAAAGAUUUAUCGGUGAUGGAUGGGGAUGCGUCUGAUUAGCUUGUUGGCGGGGUAACGGCCCACCAAGGCAACGAUCAGUAGGGGUUCUGAGAGGAAGGUCCCCCACAUUGGAACUGAGACACGGUCCAAACUCCUACGGGAGGCAGCAGUGAGGAAUAUUGGUCAAUGGACGAGAGUCUGAACCAGCCAAGUAGCGUGCAGGAUGACGGCCCUAUGGGUUGUAAACUGCUUUUAUAAGGGAAUAAAGUGAGAGUCGUGACUCUUUUUGCAUGUACCUUAUGAAUAAGGACCGGCUAAUUCCGUGCCAGCAGCCGCGGUAAUACGGAAGGUCCGGGCGUUAUCCGGAUUUAUUGGGUUUAAAGGGAGCGUAGGCCGGAGAUUAAGCGUGUUGUGAAAUGUAGACGCUCAACGUCUGCACUGCAGCGCGAACUGGUUUCCUUGAGUACGCACAAAGUGGGCGGAAUUCGUGGUGUAGCGGUGAAAUGCUUAGAUAUCACGAAGAACUCCGAUUG